RNAcentral lists this ribosomal RNA (231 nucleotides) under uncultured bacterium. RNAcentral describes it as "partial 16S ribosomal RNA". It matches the Rfam family "Bacterial small subunit ribosomal RNA", at positions 15 to 229 of the family's 1533-position model. The record is from RNAcentral.
GAUCCUAGCUCAGGACGAACGCUGGCGGCGUGCCUGACACAUGCAAGUCGAACGGAGAAUUUUAUUUCGGUAGAAUUCUUAGUGGCGAACGGGUGAGUAACGCGUAGGCAACCUGCCCUUUAGACGGGGACAACAUUCCGAAAGGAGUGCUAAUACCGGAUGUGAUCAUCGUGCCGCAUGGCAGGAUGAAGAAAGAUGGCCUCUACAAGUAAGCUAUCGCUAAAGGAUGGG